UACGUACCGUCCAAACGUUAUUCGGAAUCACUGGGCUUAAAGAGUUCGUAGGCGGCCCAGAAAGUUGGGUGUGAAAUCCCUCGGCUCAACCGAGGAAUUGCGCUCAAAACUACUGGGCUAGAGGGAGAUAGAGGUGAGCGGAACUGAUGGUGGAGCGGUGAAAUGCGUUGAUAUCAUCAGGAACACCGGAGGCGAAGGCGGCUCACUGGGUCUCUCCUGACGCUGAGGAACGAAAGCUAGGGGAGCGAACGGG
Molecule: ribosomal RNA, 253 nt
Filed under: uncultured bacterium
Lineage: Bacteria
Description: partial 16S ribosomal RNA
Rfam family: Bacterial small subunit ribosomal RNA
Source: RNAcentral